CAGGCAGUUAUUGCCAACAGCUGCGAGAAUGGGGAUGCCGCGAGCUGUGCUGCUGGCAGAGUCUGUGCUGGUGCUGGUGGCGCUGCUGCCGGCACUCUCUCACGCCGAGGACCAUGGAAUCAUAGAAGCAUUCCCCCACACAGAUGUCAUGAAGAGGUGCUACGUCGAGGAGAAAAAGGUGUUUGUAAGGCUGGGAACGACUGAGCUGCCAGGCUGCGCCAGGGCCAUCUGCACCAAGGUGUCACCAUUCACCACACGUCUUCAUUAUUCCAAGUGUAGUUCCAAAAAAACGCCACCAAACUGCCACAGACACAGAGAUUUGGAGAAGCCAUUUCCUGUUUGCUGCGGGUUUAUCCACUGCCCGAAGUAACCUUGCAGGCCCUGACCCGGCAAACCUACAGCACCUUGGACUCAGAGCUAUAAAAAAGAUCUAUGGCAUUCCUAGUGUGUCCUAAUGUUCCUGGGAAAGUGUUUUAUAUUUCAGAAGGAUAUUCAUUACAACUGUCUGAGUGGUGGCAGAAAAAAAAAGAAUAUUUACUGUCACCUACAUGUGCAAAACUAUAAUUCAUAAACGUAGAAAAAUCCUGAUCUGAAGGCCAACAUGAAGUCUAAAUCCAGCGGCGUGCCGAGGAGAUAAUCAACACCACUGGGAGCCCAACACGACACUCAACACGGAAACAGCUUUUUAUUGUCCUUGUCCUUAACGAUUAUGAAGAGACAAAUUAAAGUUAGAAUGUUGUCUUUUCUCUCCCUUACAUAUCUAUUGUGCCUGGAAGAAAAACAAUCAAGUGCAGGUAGUGAGAAAAUAUUCAGCACCCAUCAGUUGCAGGAGGUGGAUUAGAGCAGCUUGUUAGUGCAUUGUGUGUCUGGAUGAAUGCUACGAGAAAAGAUUAUGUGUAAGCGGUACAAGGCCUUGUUACUAUCAUGUGCUCCAUUCCUUCGCUCAGUAAAUACCCAUACGGUUGUCACACUUUA
Long non-coding RNA from Eriocheir sinensis (Chinese mitten crab), 975 nucleotides. RefSeq lists it as uncharacterized. The record is from RefSeq and is a predicted model, not a curated record. NCBI's taxonomy places the organism in Eukaryota, Metazoa, Arthropoda, Malacostraca, Decapoda, Varunidae. The transcript has 3 exons.